Molecule: small RNA, 27 nt
Filed under: Bombyx mori (domestic silkworm)
Lineage: Eukaryota; Metazoa; Arthropoda; Insecta; Lepidoptera; Bombycidae
Description: ovarian small RNA-1718
Source: RNAcentral
CCGGAAAAAAGGGAAAUCGAAAGAAGA